Molecule: ribosomal RNA, 526 nt
Filed under: Williamsia muralis
Lineage: Bacteria; Bacillati; Actinomycetota; Actinomycetes; Mycobacteriales; Nocardiaceae
Description: bacterial SSU rRNA
Rfam family: Bacterial small subunit ribosomal RNA
Source: RNAcentral
UCUACGGGAGGCAGCAGUGGGGAAUAUUGCACAAUGGGCGCAAGCCUGAUGCAGCGACGCCGCGUGAGGGAUGACGGCCUUCGGGUUGUAAACCUCUUUCACCAGGGACGAAGCGAAAGUGACGGUACCUGGAGAAGAAGCACCGGCCAACUACGUGCCAGCAGCCGCGGUAAUACGUAGGGUGCGAGCGUUGUCCGGAAUUACUGGGCGUAAAGAGCUCGUAGGCGGUUUGUCGCGUCGUUCGUGAAAACUUGGGGCUUAACUCCAAGCGUGCGGGCGAUACGGGCAGACUUGAGUACUACAGGGGAGACUGGAAUUCCUGGUGUAGCGGUGAAAUGCGCAGAUAUCAGGAGGAACACCGGUGGCGAAGGCGGGUCUCUGGGUAGUAACUGACGCUGAGGAGCGAAAGCGUGGGUAGCGAACAGGAUUAGAUACCCUGGUAGUCCACGCCGUAAACGGUGGGUACUAGGUGUGGGUUCCUUUUCACGGGAUCCGUGCCGUAGCUAACGCAUUAAGUACCCCGCCU